This 716-nucleotide ribosomal RNA is filed under the name Acinetobacter johnsonii. RNAcentral's name for it is "bacterial SSU rRNA". It matches the Rfam family "Bacterial small subunit ribosomal RNA", at positions 24 to 734 of the family's 1533-position model. The record is from RNAcentral. Lineage: Bacteria; Pseudomonadati; Pseudomonadota; Gammaproteobacteria; Moraxellales; Moraxellaceae.
UCAGAUUGAACGCUGGCGGCAGGCUUAACACAUGCAAGUCGAGCGGGGAAAGGUAGCUUGCUACCUGACCUAGCGGCGGACGGGUGAGUAAUGCUUAGGAAUCUGCCUAUUAGUGGGGGACAACAUUCCGAAAGGAAUGCUAAUACCGCAUACGCCCUACGGGGGAAAGCAGGGGAUCUUCGGACCUUGCGCUAAUAGAUGAGCCUAAGUCAGAUUAGCUAGUUGGUGGGGUAAAGGCCUACCAAGGCGACGAUCUGUAGCGGGUCUGAGAGGAUGAUCCGCCACACUGGGACUGAGACACGGCCCAGACUCCUACGGGAGGCAGCAGUGGGGAAUAUUGGACAAUGGGCGCAAGCCUGAUCCAGCCAUGCCGCGUGUGUGAAGAAGGCCUUUUGGUUGUAAAGCACUUUAAGCGAGGAGGAGGCUACCGAGAUUAAUACUCUUGGAUAGUGGACGUUACUCGCAGAAUAAGCACCGGCUAACUCUGUGCCAGCAGCCGCGGUAAUACAGAGGGUGCGAGCGUUAAUCGGAUUUACUGGGCGUAAAGCGUGCGUAGGCGGCUUUUUAAGUCGGAUGUGAAAUCCCUGAGCUUAACUUAGGAAUUGCAUUCGAUACUGGGAAGCUAGAGUAUGGGAGAGGAUGGUAGAAUUCCAGGUGUAGCGGUGAAAUGCGUAGAGAUCUGGAGGAAUACCGAUGGCGAAGGCAGCCAUCUGGCC